Long non-coding RNA from Oncorhynchus tshawytscha (Chinook salmon), 2896 nucleotides. Lineage: Eukaryota; Metazoa; Chordata; Actinopteri; Salmoniformes; Salmonidae. The record is from Ensembl.
GAUGUGUGUGUUUAGCUCAGUCCUUUGGUUCGGACACAUGUUUCAAUACCCUAUCUGAUAGCACAGACCCUGCCCCCUUAACCCCCUCUGUCAUCUUUUCUCUCUCAAGCUUUUUCCGAGAAAAUCUGAGACGCCCCAGGGUAGCAGUCAGAUGACCUUGGGACAGGGCUCUGCCGGAACUUAAUCGAAACGCUGGUAUUCCCGAGCACGAUCGUGAACGCUAACAGGACAGUGAAAGAAGAAUGUCUAACUCACACUCCCGGCCCAGUAUAAACUCCAUGCCCUGGCCUGUUCUGACAGACAGGAAGUGCUCCUAUCAUCUCCAUGGGAAAGAGUGGAGCCGGAGACCCCUCCUCAAACAGAAGGCGGGUUUAGAUCAACACACAAAACAGGUUCUCACACACAAAGAGCUUACCUUUACAAUACCUUACAGAAAACCACUAACCCUUACAGUUUAACUAUGACUAUUUAGAGGUGAAAAACAUGUCAUGCCUUUGUGAUGUAUGUCAGUGUUUUCAGGAGGGUGUUAUUUAGACACAUUUGGAGGUAGAUGUAAAAUAAAGAGUACCAGAGCCGGCAGGGUAGCCUAGUGGGGCGGCAGGGUAGCCUAGUGGUUAGAGCGUUGGACGAGUAACCGGAAGGUUGCAGGUUCAAACCCCCAAGCUGACAAGGUGUUUGCAAGAAUGGACAACUGCUGGUAUCUGUCGUUCUGCCCCUGAACAGGCAGUUAACCCACUGUUCCUAGGCCGUCAUUGAAAAUAAGAAUUUGUUCUUAACUGACUUGCCUAGUUAAAUAAAGGUAAAAUGAAAGAGCCAUAUCUAUAACUUGGGGGUAUAAUAAACAGUAUAUAAAAAGUCAGCUAUAAGCCUAACUAGAACACUAGGCUAUUUAUCCCUGAAUAAAUUGUGAUUUUUUUGUUUUGUUUUCAACAAUCAAUUCUUAUUUAUAAAAUGUUUCUAAGCAUGAUUUCCUUUGUUUCUAAAGAUUCAAUAAUAGUCUUGUCUGCACCGUGAAAUAGAAGCGCUUUCUUCCCGCCAUGAAUGGCUGGCAAUUCUCCGAGCCUUACAGCGCCAUUGAACUGCUUGGGGAAGCAAUUGACGCAUCCCAGUGGAACUGCCGAGAUGCACCAUGUAUAUUUUUUUUUAUCCCCGAGGAAACAGAGGAGGUGGAAUAGGUGAGGUUGAGGCUCUUCCAAAAACUAUCAUCGUUUUCUUUGGACAUACUCUAGGCUACUUACCGCUUCACCUCAUCAACGAAAAUGUAAAAAGUUAACAGCGUUAGGCAAGUUAUGCCGGUCCGGGACGAAUAAACUCUCCGCUUUCGCCGUACAGGCAGCCCGAUAUGUCUUGAUAGUAGGUGGUACUGUAGUGUUUGCAAGAAUGGACAACCGCUGGUAUCAUGCUGCAUUAAAAUCAGUCUCCGUUGUGUCUCUGACAAUGCCUACCUGGACACAACAUUCCCGGUCGAGGCAAUUGAGUUGUCUUCAGAUAAAGUUCACAAUAACACCAGAAAAUUAUCCAGAAAAGCACACUUAUCUGGCUGUAAAGUGUGGAUGUACAGAAAUGCAAAAUUUCAAAAUAUUCUGAGGGGACAGUUUCCGGGUAAAAGCGUCCUUGUCCUCCGUCUUUUUCGAACUGUCACCCUUUCUUUCGUCCUGUCAGUCUGGAGUUUUUCUAUUAAGUUUCUUGGACUCGAGUCCCUCCCCUUUCUGGCAGAGCUGACCAAUGGCAGAGUGGACUGUGCGUAUCGAAGGGGAAAUAAUAACCUGUUCGCCAACGUAACCUUGCGGGCGUCCUUCCGUUGCCAUCCAUGACCUCCAACUGUCCGUCGGUGUUCCAAGGCUCGAGAAUAGCACCUCCAUUCGUUAUCUUUUACUGUAGGCAACAUUGAAUUAGUGUGUUCUCCAGUGUACAGGCCAUCUGCAGGCUGUUGGAGCGAGCGGAGCAUCAACCAUGGGGGUCCAGCACCACUUCACCCAGACCAACCACUCUCCUUCAUAUAGGCCGGGGCCUCGUCUGCUGCUGCCUCCUCACUGUUUCCUGCAGGGUACACACACCGCGGAGAGCGAUGGAUGAAGUCGUGCAUGGAUGAAAGUAUAAAUGGACAAAUGAAGGAAUGGAUGUUUAGCCCAAUGCAACAUUACUGGCUUCAGUUUAUAUCAUAAAUCAUAUGUGUGUCUGUGUGACACUGUGUGUUUGUGUGUGAGGGAGAUAGUUACCUAGUUACCAUGUGGAACAGGAUGAGUUUAGCCAUGAGUUUGGAUGUGUGACCUUCAUGAUGGCUUCUCCAUAUCCUGUGGGGGACACUGCUCCCACCUUGUUAUCAGCAUAACCCCCACAUCCUGGCACACACACACACACUCCCUUCUACGAAAGAAAAAGGAUAAAAGUAUUGGGACAGUGACACAAUUGUUGUUUUUGGCACUGUACUCCAUCACUUUGGAUUUGAAAUUAUACAAUGACUGAGGUUCAAGUGCAGACUGUCAGCUUUAAUUUGAGGAUAUUUUCUUCCGUAUCGGGCGAAGAUGUCCACUAAACAUAGAAUCACAUCAUGUAUCCGUCUCUGAUAAAUUGUGAAUGUCUUUGCAAGUGAUGUAUAAAAAUAUGCUUAAAAUGAAAACCAAGAUGAUCGCAUUUAAACAUAAACAGUAAGCCAGGACUGCCCAACCCUCUUCCUGGAGAUGUACCGUCCUGUGGGUUUUCAGUCCAACCGUCUUCCUGGAGAUGUACCGUCCUGUGGGUUUUCAGUCCAACCCUCUUCCUGGAGAUGUACCGUCCUGUGGGUUUUCAGUCCAACCUUAAUUUAACAUACCUGAUUCUACUAAUUAGCUGCUCAACAAGACCUUAACUAGCUGAAUCAGAUAUGCUAAAUUAGGGUUGGACUGACAACCUACAG